UACGGGGGGGCAAGCGUUGUUCGGAAUUACUGGGCGUAAAGGGCGCGUAGGCGGUCUGUUAAGUCGGAUGUGAAAACUCUGGGCUCAACCCAGAGCCUGCAUCCGAAACUGGCAGGCUAGAGUUCUGGAGGGGGUAGCGGAAUUCCUGGUGUAGCGGUGAAAUGCGUAGAUAUCAGGAGGAACACCGGUGGCGAAGGCGGCUACCUGGACAGAAACUGACGCUGAGGCGCGAAAGCUAGGGGAGCAAACAGG
Molecule: ribosomal RNA, 252 nt
Filed under: uncultured bacterium
Lineage: Bacteria
Description: partial 16S ribosomal RNA
Rfam family: Bacterial small subunit ribosomal RNA
Source: RNAcentral